CUAAGGCUUCAGCAGGCUGAAUAUUUCUCCCAGAUGGUGCUUUGCCCUCUGCCAUUAGAAUUAGCUUUGGGUACAAGAACCAGGCAUCCUCAGCAACAAAACAGAGGGAUGAAACAUGGAAGCCAAAGACUCUGCCAGCUGGAUGGCCACCGUGCUCACUAAAUACAUGCAGGUGGAGAAAUGAGCUUGGCCCUCUGAGAUGGGCACCAGUCACAAAGAAACCCAGAGCCUGGCAACAAUAUGGGAAACGGAUAUGAUACUGGACAUAAACUCUCCUCGGUUGCCACUAAUUUAUUGGGUUCACAGCCAUCAUUCAUGGGAAAGGAAUACAACUUGAAAGUUGCUGGCUGGUAACAAGUAUCUUGCAUCAUUUUCAACAUUAACAAAGAAAGCCUGUUUUUCCCACACUGAGGACAUCUCCAUUCUUCUGGUUCUGUCACCCCUGGGAAGGAAAUCUGAUGUACCUUGACUGUUUUAUAACAAAAUAUCCUGGAGAAAUGAGACACUGUCAGCAGAAGCAUGAAAAAACUACGGGGAUAAAAAUUAGCCAGAGAUGA
Peromyscus maniculatus bairdii (prairie deer mouse) is the source of this 557-nucleotide non-coding RNA. NCBI's taxonomy places the organism in Eukaryota, Metazoa, Chordata, Mammalia, Rodentia, Cricetidae. The record is from RefSeq and is a predicted model, not a curated record.